CCUGCUGGGCAAGAAAAUGCAUCAUCAGCAUGAGCCUAAGCCUUCCUGGAGCAUCCAGAGAUCCCAGGGGCUCUUCCAGAGAAACCCACUCCUUGGUUCCAGUGACAGUGACAUUGCUUCAUUGGGGUGCAACCAUCCCAAUCCACUCUGAGCAACAAUUAAUCUUCAGGAGUGCAGGCUGGACCCUGGCAAGCAGAGCCUGUGCAUUUGGAAUGCAAGCUUCCUUCCUAAGCAGUUUCCCUAUAUUCCAGUGUUAAUGUAGAGUGAAUGGUUUAAGGAAGGGUCAGGGAAUGUAAGCAACAGGUAUUUCUCAUAUGAUCUUCACAGGGCAAGGUGGAGUGGCUUUCAAGUGAAAGAAGACAGGUUUAGAUUGGACAUUAGUAAGAAAUUCUUCCCUGUGAGGGUGGUGAGGCCCUGGCACAGGGUGCCCAGAGAAGCUGUGGCUGUCCCUGGAUCCCUGGAAGUGUCCAAGGCCAGAUUGGAUGGGGCUUGGAGCAGCCUGGGAUGGGGGAAGGUGUCCUUCCUUCCCAUAGCACGUGGGGAAAAAGGUAGUCUUUAAGGUCCCUCCCAACCCAGCCAUUCCAUGGUUCUGUCCCCAGAGCGGAAGAAACCUCUGCCCUGAUCAGGAAAAGCUGAAAAAUUUUUGUGCUGCUCCUCGAUCCAAGGGCUGUUGCAGGCACUGCAUGGCAAGGACUGUCCUCUCUGGGGACCCUGGCCUGGGCCCCAAACCCUCAGAUUCCUUGGCACUAGAUGGAGCACGUGAGCUUCCACCAAGGAAAGCCAGAGCAGCCCUGGAGAAGAUCCUGCACUGUCUGAGCAGCUCUGUUCAGUUUUGGUUUGCCUGUCCAGCCCUGCCGGGGAGGUACUGGGGCAGAGGGAGGUGGGGUAGCCUCAUUUUCCCCAGCAGAGCCUUCAGUUCAUGCCUGAGGGCUCGGGUCCAUCUUAUUUCCAUGCUCUCCCUGCCCCUGGCGUCUCCUGCAGCUGGAUGGUUGUUGGCACCAAAGGCAGCAGGUGUGCUGGAAGAGGAAAAGGAAGAGGAAAAGACCUGAUUGCUGUGGAGCAAAUUCCCCAUCCAUGGCAUGAUCCAGAAUUGGAUCUGCUGGAGGCAAGUUCAUCAAAUGUGGGAUGCACAAUGAAUCCAUUCUGGGCUCUGUCUCUGAUUCACCACGUGCCAUGAGUCCAGCAAUUCAUCACUACCUGAAGCUUUCCUGACUUCCCUGGCAGUUGCAGGAAGGUGCAUGGACACCCUGUGGAAGCAGAUCUCCAGGAGAACCAUCCACCUCAUACCUGGCAAGCAGAUCCAGGUUCCUCCAGUUUUCCAGCAGGAUUUGCAGUGGGUGGUCACAGACUGGAGAGCUUGGCAGCUUUUUCAGUGCUGCUGUUUGCUGCAGGAACCACACAUUUUUACCCUUGUAUGGAAUAAUCACGUCCUGAUGAAAUCCAGGAUUUGUGCAGCCAAGCUGACUUUGCAAGUGCCACCACCUUUUGCAACCAACCCUGCCUUUCCUGAUCCUCUUCCUCAGCUCUUCUAAUCCUUCUUCCUAAACCAAUCCUGAGCCAGAAGAGCUGUCCUGGAGGACAGCUCCCAAUCCAUUUCUCCUGUACUGGGCAGCAGCUCCCAAACCAGGGUGCCCUUAUCUCUGUACAUCCCUGUGCAGAGGGUCGUUGGCUGCCCCAGCCUGCCCUGAGUGCCCCACCUUGCUGAUGCAUCUGCAGCCCUCCCUCAGGGCACAGGGGAGGCCCAGUGCAGCCUUUCCCUUCUCCCACCACCCUGUCUUGGAGCGUGUGGGAAGCUCAGUGCUCCUGGGAGGUUGGGAUGAGUCAGUGUUUGCCAGUCCUGAGUCACUCCAGGGAGUAGCCAGAGAGGAGGGGGGGGAUGCCCAGCCUCAUCUGGGGGUGUAAAUAUCCCAGGAAGUUCUGUCUGAAAGAAAAUUCCCAUUGAGAGGUCACCACCUUGUAGGGUUGCUUCCAGCAGGGCCACCACCAUGGACCACAUAUGUCACUCCAUGAGAAGAAGUUAUUUCCUGGCCCUGCUUCCAUGUGAAUCCUUCCACAUGGCCCACACCUGGUUAUUUGGGAGGGGUGCCACAUCCCCAUCCCAUGGCUGUCCUUGGAAACUUCCUGGGACAUGCCAAGGGGUUCCUCUUGGCAGCUCCCUCAGAGCAAGUUUGUGGAGCCAGGGCAUCCAACACGCCAGGGAGGCCAUGGAGGAAUGCCAGGCAAGUUCUCAAAGCAGGACUUUUGGGAUGUCUUUUGAGUAGAAUAAUUCCCAGUCCUCCCACUUAUUGCAAUUUUUAUCACUAUUUUUGGGCUUUUUUGAGCUAGAGAUGCUCCUGAACUCCUGGAGGCUUUGGGAGUGAAUUGGCUCAGGAGUCUAUCCCUGGUGCUUAAAGCAGGUUUAAGAUUUAGAGGGGGGAGUGGACACCCUUGCUGACACCCCCACAGGCACCUUGUCCUCUGUGCCUUGAUGAACCCCCAGAGAGCACCACAGGAUACUUCAAAUACAUACCCAGGCUCUAGAUUUUUACCUCCAUUUCAAGCUUGACUGGGAUAAAUUCCCAGGUCAAGAAGAGCUGGAAGAACCACCCCAGGAUUUUCUAUUCUCAGAGUCCCUGCCUUUAACAUGAACUAAAUUUUCUGUGCUUGCUCAGAGCAGAGGCUGAGCAGGGAAUGAGGCCAGAAAAACAGGGGGUCAUGUCAGACUUUCUUUUUCUCUCCUCUUAACACUGAAAUAAAAAUACAUCUCGAGCUUGUUUUGGGAUUAACAAGAAAAAAUUCCUCUUGAUGGGAACCAUCUGUGGCCGGGAGAUGCCGGCUGCUCUCUGCUUCCCACCCAGACGCUGUCAUUUGGGGUGUGUUCCUCUCCCAAAUAUUAUUCCUCUCAUCCCUGUGCUGAUGGGAGGAAUCCCAACUAUUUAAGGAGGCUUUUCUCCCAUCAUUUCAAGGCAGCAGCAGCUGGUGACACCUCUGGAGGAUAAUAUUUGCUCUCCUCAUUACAGCCCCAGUGCCCAGCACAGCUUGCUGGUGGCUGCUGGGCUUGGAGGGGAACCACUGCAAGUGUCUUGGGUGUGGCCUUUCCACCCCAGACAUCACCUCGGGGUCAAAGCAAACACCUCGAGGCCUCUCUGGCCUGUCCCACAAAGCAGGAGGGGAAAUGGAGGUUCCCUGGCUCAGCCUCUGCUGUGCUGCUGGAAAUAAGUGCAUUAGUGCUGGUCCCUUCAUGGUGUCGAAGAAUGAGGACAUUUCUGGGGUGGACCUUGGCCCCAGCUGAGUUUUUGGGGUGGGAACUGGGUUGGGUUGGCAACAGGACGAUGAAGAGGUGCAUUUGCAGCAUCAGAAACUCCAGAGAGAUUUGGAGCAGAGAGGAGCCUCCAAGGCCAGGAAGAGGAGAAGAAGCUCAAGGUGAAUCCAGCAGAACCCAGGGCAGGUCUGGCCCGGGAGGAAAGGCUGGAAAUGUUUCUCUGCUCUUUCCAUGCAGAAGAAGAGGCUGCCUGGCUGAAAUGUCUCCUCCUGGGAUCAGCUCCUGGCAGGUUGAGCAGGAAGCUGGGAUCAAGACAAGCCCAGCAGGUUCUGGGCUGUGAAUCCUCCUGGAUGGCAGCACAUCCCUGACCUGGGAUCCAAGAGCUGAACUGAAAUGGACCCAAAUGAGCAUUAUGGGGGCUUUCCCAAAGCUGGCUGGAUGAAGGAUUUUUGUGUGGGCCUUGACAUCUUCAGAGUGAUCCAGGCCUGGCUUGGGAGGUGGUUUGGAUUCAUUUGGAGAAAAGAGGGCAGGACAUUCAGGCCAUGCUUACCCUGCCCUCCUGCUUGUCCCUCAAUGUGGGGACCCCCCAGUUCCUGUACUCUGCCAGGACUGAGCUAAUCCUCACCUCUCCUCCAUGGAGCCCAGCAGGAGCUGGUUGGAGUGAAGGAUGCUGCUCCCUCCUUCCCCCUGGGGCUGGCACGAAGCAUCACAGUGGCACUGGGGGAUUUUGUCCUCCAGCAGAUGAAAGCAGAAAGCUUUCCAUCUUUGAGGCUGGAAAAAUCCAUCCCCCAGAGAGGGGCUUGGCCCUGCAGCUGGGGGUGCAGCCCACGCUCCCAUCCCAGGAAUGUGGGAUGUUCUGGUGCUGCUUUGCCCAGCCCUGCUCUGACCACAGGCUGGGAACAGGCCUGGCUGCUCUCAGAAUAUUCCAUGGAUCUCUGAACCCAUGGCUGUUGUAAGGUGCUCACCCAAAGCUGCUGUUGUGCAAGGAGGACUCAUCUUUCCAAGAUCUUUUAACAAAUCCCUCCUGGGCCGAGACACCCCAAAAUGGCUUUUGCAGAGAAGGGUGUUUGUGUUACUGAUGCUUGGAAAGCUGAAUGCAGGUGCUGUGCUUCACCCAUCAAAAAGCAAUUUACAGAUUAAAUUUGUAAAAAUUUAUAUAAACUGCUGGAACAGCAUCAAAUUGUAGAACAGCAUAUUGUAACAGGAAGAAAAUUUGCUGUUUAAAAUUUUGUUUUAUUAGAAAUAGAGAGAAAUGGAUUCACAUAACAUUUUUCAGACAGUGAGGUUUUGAACUCUGGGGGUUUCAUUUCAGCAGUGUUUGUGCACACACACUCCAUCUCAGGCAGGCUGAGCUGAGGCUGGGAUGGGUUUUUCAUCCUCUGUGAUGGGAUAAAACCCCACAUCUCCAUCCACGAAAACUCUGGGAUGGAGAGGAUCAGAAGACUGAUGCUCCCCCUGACCUGGCUGAAUAACAGGGGCUUUGUUCAGGGAUCCAGGUCAGGGAUUUUAUUUCAGUACCUGCAAAGAAGCUAUGAGAAGAAUGCAGUGGGUUCCUCCCAGCCUGGAGAAACGCAGAGAUAUCUCCAAAGGUGUUUAAUAUUAACUGGAGCAGGGCACAUCCCUGAAGGGUUUGAUUGUGAGCCUAUCUGUGUUUGUAUCCAAACAUCACCUGCAAAUCCAUAGCGUGGCCAGAGCUGGAGGAGGUGAAAGUCCUCCUGGAGGGAGCUGGAUCAAUAAUGGGUUUGUCAAUAAAGAUCAUCCCGUGCUGGCACCAGGAA
Molecule: long non-coding RNA, 5019 nt
Organism: Haemorhous mexicanus (house finch)
Lineage: Eukaryota; Metazoa; Chordata; Aves; Passeriformes; Fringillidae
Exons: 5
Source: RefSeq, a predicted model, not a curated record